AGUGAACGCUGGCGGUAUGCCUAACACAUGCAAGUCGAACGGCAGCACAGUAAGAGCUUGCUCUUACGGGUGGCGCGUGGCGGACGGGUGAGGAAUACAUCGGAAUCUACUUUUUCGUGGGGGAUAACGUAGGGAAACUUACGCUAAUACCGCAUACGACAUACGGGUGAAAGCAGGGGAUCUUCUGACCUUGCGCGAUUGUAUGAGCCGAUGUCGGAUUAGCUAGUUGGCGGGGUAAAGGCCCACCAAGGCGACGAUCCGUAGCUGGUCUGAGAUGAUGAUCAGCCACACUGGCACUGAGACUCGGUCCAGACUCCUACGGGAGGAAACAGCGCGGAAUAUUAGACAAUGGGCGAAAGCCUAAUCCCGCCAUAGCGCGUGGGUCCAGCAGCAGUUCGGGUUCUAAAGCCCUUCUGUUGGGAAAGAAAAGCAGCAGGUUUACACCACGCUAUACUGACGGUACCCAAAGAAUAAGCACCGGCUAACUUCGUG
Molecule: ribosomal RNA, 492 nt
Filed under: uncultured bacterium
Lineage: Bacteria
Description: partial 16S ribosomal RNA
Rfam family: Bacterial small subunit ribosomal RNA
Source: RNAcentral